RNAcentral lists this transfer RNA (69 nucleotides) under Ictidomys tridecemlineatus (thirteen-lined ground squirrel). RNAcentral describes it as "Spermophilus tridecemlineatus (thirteen-lined ground squirrel) tRNA". It matches the Rfam family "tRNA". Rfam says of the family: Transfer RNA (tRNA) molecules are approximately 80 nucleotides in length. Their secondary structure includes four short double-helical elements and three loops (D, anti-codon, and T loops). RNAcentral also lists the same sequence under 1 other name. The record is from Rfam by way of RNAcentral. Lineage: Eukaryota; Metazoa; Chordata; Mammalia; Rodentia; Sciuridae.
GGAGUUGUGGCUCAGAGGUAGAGCACUCACCUAGCAUGUGCAAGACCCUGGGUUCAAUCCCCAGCACCA